GAAGGUGUGUCGUGAGGCAUGCUGGAGGUAUCAGAAGUGCGAAUGCUGACAUAAGUAACGAUAAAGCGGGUGAAAAGCCCGCUCGCCGGAAGACCAAGGGUUCCUGUCCAACGUUAAUCGGGGCAGGGUGAGUCGACCCCUAAGGCGAGGCCGAAAGGCGUAGUCGAUGGGAAACGGGUUAAUAUUCCCGUACUUGGUGUUACUGCGAAGGGGGGACGGAGAAGGCUAUGUUGGCCGGGCGACGGUUGUCCCGGUUUAAGCGUGUAGGUGUGUGUUCCAGGUAAAUCCGGUUCACUUUAACACUGAGGCGUGACGACGAGGCACUACGGUGCUGAAGCAACAAAUGCCCUGCUUCCAGGAAAAGCCUCUAAGCAUCAGGUAACAUCAAAUCGUACCCCAAACCGACACAGGUGGUCAGGUAGAGAAUACCAAGGCGCUUGAGAGAACUCGGGUGAAGGAACUAGGCAAAAUGGUGCCGUAACUUCGGGAGAAGGCACGCUGACACGUAGGUGAAGUGAUUUACUCAUGGAGCUGAAGUCAGUCGAAGAUACCAGCUGGCUGCAACUGUUUAUUAAAAACACAGCACUGUGCAAACACGAAAGUGGACGUAUACGGUGUGACGCCUGCCCGGUGCCGGAAGGUUAAUUGAUGGGGUCAGCGCAAGCGAAGCUCCUGAUCGAAGCCCCGGUAAACGGCGGCCGUAACUAUAACGGUCCUAAGGUAGCGAAAUUCCUUGUCGGGUAAGUUCCGACCUGCACGAAUGGCGUAAUGAUGGCCAGGCUGUCUCCACCCGAGACUCAGUGAAAUUGAACUCGCUGUGAAGAUGCAGUGUACCCGCGGCAAGACGGAAAGACCCCGUGAACCUUUACUAUAGCUUGACACUGAACAUUGAGCCUUGAUGUGUAGGAUAGGUGGGAGGCUUUGAAGUGUGGACGCCAGUCUGCAUGGAGCCGACCUUGAAAUACCACCCUUUAAUGUUUGAUGUUCUAACGUGGACCCGUUACCCGGGUUGCGGACAGUGUCUGGUGGGUAGUUUGACUGGGGCGGUCUCCUCCUAAAGAGUAACGGAGGAGCACG
RNAcentral lists this ribosomal RNA (1077 nucleotides) under Salmonella enterica. RNAcentral describes it as "bacterial LSU rRNA". It matches the Rfam family "Bacterial large subunit ribosomal RNA", at positions 1252 to 2312 of the family's 2925-position model. The record is from RNAcentral. Lineage: Bacteria; Pseudomonadati; Pseudomonadota; Gammaproteobacteria; Enterobacterales; Enterobacteriaceae. RNAcentral also lists the same sequence under 1 other name.